This 366-nucleotide ribosomal RNA is filed under the name uncultured microorganism. RNAcentral describes it as "bacterial SSU rRNA". It matches the Rfam family "Archaeal small subunit ribosomal RNA", at positions 330 to 686 of the family's 1478-position model. The record is from RNAcentral.
GCGCACCAGGCGCGAAACCUCCGCAAUGCGGGAAACCGCGACGGGGGACCCCGAGUGCCGUGGCAACGCCACGGCUUUUCCGGAGUGUAAAAAGCUCCGGGAAUAAGGGCUGGGCAAGGCCGGUGGCAGCCGCCGCGGUAAUACCGGCGGCCCGAGUGGUGGCCGGCUAUUAUUGGGGCCUAAAGCGUCCGUAGCCGGGCCCGUAAGUCCCCUGGGCGAAAAGUCCCACGGCUCAACCGUGGGGCUUGCUGGGGAUACUGCGGGUCUUGGGGACCGGGAGAGGCGGGGGGUACCCCUGGGGGUAGGGGGUGGAAAUCCCUAUAAUCCCCAGGGGGACCGCCAGUGGCGAAGGCGCCCCGCUGGAAC